Long non-coding RNA from Phasianus colchicus (ring-necked pheasant), 288 nucleotides. RefSeq lists it as uncharacterized. Lineage: Eukaryota; Metazoa; Chordata; Aves; Galliformes; Phasianidae. The record is from RefSeq and is a predicted model, not a curated record.
GGAACUUCAGCAAGGACCAGCAGUGCCACAUGGCUGGAAGGCCAGAACCACCAAGGCUAGCCAAGCACAAUGCACUCCAGCAUCUAAGAAAUGGCAAACCUGACCACAGCAUUCAAGGAUGUUGGCCAACUACCAACACAAAGGUCAGAAGAUUUUCUACCAAAUGUGAAUUCCUGCAAACACGUUACUUGUGACAGUGCCCAAACACCCAGAAUUGGAGAAUCCAGCAUUGAGAGGAGCUCACCAACAUUCCCUUGCUGAGCCAUGAUGCACGUACUAACAUGAAUG